This 354-nucleotide ribosomal RNA is filed under the name Hyphomicrobiales bacterium. RNAcentral describes it as "bacterial SSU rRNA". It matches the Rfam family "Bacterial small subunit ribosomal RNA", at positions 1 to 384 of the family's 1533-position model. The record is from RNAcentral. Lineage: Bacteria; Pseudomonadati; Pseudomonadota; Alphaproteobacteria; Hyphomicrobiales.
UCAACUUGAGAGUUUGAUCCUGGCUCAGAACGAACGCUGGCGGCAGGCCUAACACAUGCAAGUCGAGCGCACCGCAAGGUGAGCGGCAGACGGGUGAGUAACGCGUGGGAACCUACCCUAUGGUUCGGAAUAGCCCAGGGAAACUUGGGGUAAUACCGGAUAAGCCCUUCGGGGGAAAGAUUUAUCGCCAUUGGAUGGGCCCGCGUCGGAUUAGCUAGUUGGUGGGGUAACGGCCUACCAAGGCGACGAUCCGUAGCUGGUCUGAGAGGAUGAUCAGCCACACUGGGACUGAGACACGGCCCAGACUCCUACGGGAGGCAGCAGUGGGGAAUAUUGGACAAUGGGCGCAAGCCU